GNAGCGGCAGACGGGUGAGUAACACGUGGGUAACGUGCCUUUUGGAUCGGAACAACUGAGGGAAACUUCAGCUAAUGCCGGAUAAGCCCUUACGGGGAAAGAUUUAUCGCCAAAAGAUCGGCCCGCGUCUGAUUAGCUAGUUGGUGGGGUAAUGGCCCACCAAGGCGACGAUCAGUAGCUGGUCUGAGAGGAUGAUCAGCCACACUGGGACUGAGACACGGCCCAGACUCCUACGGGAGGCAGCAGUGGGGAAUAUUGGACAACGGGCGCAAGCCUGAUCCAGCCAUGCCGCGUGAGUGAUGAAGGCCUUAGGGUUGUAAAGCUCUUUCGUCGGGGAAGAUAAUGACGGUACCCGAAGAAGAAGCCCCGGCUAACUUCGUGCCAGCAGCCGCGGUAAUACGAAGGGGGCUAGCGUUGCUCGGAAUCACUGGGCGUAAAGCGCACGUAGGCGGACUUUUAAGUCAGGGGUGAAAUCCUGGAGCUCAACUCCAGAACUGCCUUUGAUACUGGGAGUCUUGAGUCCG
This 524-nucleotide ribosomal RNA is filed under the name uncultured bacterium. RNAcentral's name for it is "bacterial SSU rRNA". It matches the Rfam family "Bacterial small subunit ribosomal RNA", at positions 92 to 650 of the family's 1533-position model. The record is from RNAcentral.